CCUUCUUCUGCCCCUCCCCAUGGUGUGCCCUGUAGAUCCAGUGUAGGAGCCUCGGCUGGGCUCAGAAGGCUGCGCCACACCCCAUCUUCAGGACUCACCAGCAAAGAUAUAACCUUGACGUCUACAUCUCCCCAACAACUGGGAUGACCUCAGUGAGGAGAGGCCAAUCUCCCCGAGACUGUGAGGUCCUCAGAGUUGAAGGGAGUCGUGGUGGGACCUGGGAGGACCAGGUAGACCUCGAAUGGUUUGACACAGAGGCCUUCUUUGAGAUCCUACAUCGGCAGUCUCUGACAGUGACGGCCAAUCUCAGCCAAACCAACAAGGAGGUAACUGGAAGCCCCAAAAGGUGCUCAAGGCAGGCAGAGACAAGCAGGGCUGG
This 379-nucleotide long non-coding RNA is filed under the name Rattus norvegicus (Norway rat). RNAcentral describes it as "long non-coding RNA NONRATT033672". Lineage: Eukaryota; Metazoa; Chordata; Mammalia; Rodentia; Muridae. The record is from RNAcentral.